AACCUCCAGGAUUAUGUGAGGAUUGAAUGGGACAAGGACAUCAAGUGUUAGCACAGUGUCGUCACCCAGGGACCACUCAAUCGGUGGAGGCCACACCAUCAUCUUCACACGCUGGCCUACAAGAUAGAGCUGGGAUUCUCCCCCUACUAGGUAACUUGCUAUGUCACCCGAGAUAAGUCACUUUCCCUCUGUAGGCUCUGCGUCCUGCUUUGUGUAAGGAGAGAGCUGGGCAGUGAGGCCGAGGGUCCUUCCUGGGCUCACAGUCCAAGUCGCAAGGAAUCACAUCAUUUCCAAGUACCCAUGGCAGAAGAGGGAGCCAUCCUCAAGGUCACCAAAGACCUAAGAGCAGCUGCCGUCUCUGCCAUCCUCCAGGGCUAUGGGGAUGGGCAGGGGCCAGUGACAGACACCAGUGCUGAGCUGCACAGACUCUGUGGCUGCCUGGAGCUGCUGCUGCAGUUUGACCAGAAAGAGCAGAAGAGCUUCCUGGGGCCUCGGAAGGAUUACUGGGACUUUCUCUGCACUGCCCUACGACGGCAGCGGGGGGACAUGGAGCCAAUCCACUUUGUCCGUUCCCAGGACAAG
This 582-nucleotide small RNA is filed under the name Pongo abelii (Sumatran orangutan). RNAcentral describes it as "retained intron". The record is from RNAcentral. Lineage: Eukaryota; Metazoa; Chordata; Mammalia; Primates; Hominidae.